RNA transcript from Dermacentor albipictus, 988 nucleotides. RefSeq lists it as uncharacterized. The record is from RefSeq and is a predicted model, not a curated record. Lineage: Eukaryota; Metazoa; Arthropoda; Arachnida; Ixodida; Ixodidae.
CCGCGAAAAAUCGUCGCCGCUUAUCUCCGCUCGCUGCUCGGGCGCCCGUAUCGCGCAUGCUAGUCUAUAUAUGCUCUGACAGACGAGGCAACGAGUUCAAAUUUUGUGGGACGUAUUAGUACGCCGAAACGGAGCGAAAGCGGGAAGGAAGGAGCCUUCGAGGGAAGCGAUAUGCAGGAGAAUCCGCAUCAGAGGAAGAAAUGGACGCAUCACACUUGUCGUGCCUCUCCGUCGCCAUCGAGCAUCCGCCAAGUACUUUCGACCACCCAUGUACAAAAGAGUGGACACUCAGGACGAGGAUAUAGCGGGCGAAAGUGCGGCCACUUCCUAGUCACGGCAAGAGUGAGGGCAACCCCGACCCGGAUCCUCCGAAGCGCAACCUCCUCUGCACGGAUCAGGAGCUAUUGUCACGCCUCCCACAACCUGUCGAUGAAGCUAUACAGUCCAGAGGGCCAGACCACGCAUAUCUCAGAGAGGGAGUAUAGAAUGCAGCUACACAGCGGUCUUCGUCUACUUUGACAGAACCAUCUUUGUUUACUUGGAGGUGAUUCGGAUCGGGUUCUUCUCGUUGCUGUCGGAUUGCCUUGGCUCGGGCGACUCUAACGGCUGGAUUGGUGCUCCGAUGGUGAGCCCUUUCACGGGCAAGUUCUCGCCGCCGCUCGUCGAAUGCUGCCCGUUCCGCGGGGAAACACACAAUGCCUGACCGUCUCAUCCAUUUUCCGAGACUGAACUGAACAGAAACAGAGCCGACGCAGCACAUGCGAUACCCUUUUCUGCCUUUUUACUCCCCGGCUGACGCGAAACGGCUCUGAUUGGUAGCGCGCGUGGCGUAAGCGCGCGCCUAUGCACCUGGAAACCUUGCUAAUAACUCACGCUCCGGGGCAGUUGUCAACUCCAAACCGACCCUUCUCUAGUAGGAUGUUCUUGAGCUCUAGUUGGUUCAUGCUUUACGGAAGGUUAAACCUGCGCGAACAAAACAAGGACAAGC